GACGAACGCUGGCGGCGUGCUUAACACAUGCAAGUCGAACGGAAAGGCCCUGCUUUUGUGGGGUGCUCGAGUGGCGAACGGGUGAGUAACACGUGAGUAACCCGCCCUUGACUUUGGGAUAACUUCAGGAAACUGGGGCUAAUACCGGAUAGGAGCUCCUGCUGCAUGGUGGGGGUUGGAAAGUUUCGGCGGUUGGGGAUGGACUCGCGGCUUAUCAGCUUGUUGGUGGGGUAGUGGCUUACCAAGGCUUUGACGGGUAGCCGGCCUGAGAGGGUGACCGGCCACAUUGGGACUGAGAUACGGCCCAGACUCCUACGGGAGGCAGCAGUGGGGAAUAUUGCACAAUGGGCGGAAGCCUGAUGCAGCAACGCCGCGUGCGGGAUGACGGCCUUCGGGUUGUAAACCGCUUUCGCCUGUGACGAAGCGUGAGUGACGGUAAUGGGUAAAGAAGCACCGGCUAACUACGUGCCAGCAGCCGCGGUGAUACGUAGGGUGCGAGCGUUGUCCGGAUUUAUUGGGCGUAAAGGGCUCGUAGGUGGUUGAUCGCGUCGGAAGUGUAAUCUUGGGGCUUAACCCUGAGCGUGCUUUCGAUACGGGUUGACUUGAGGAAGGUAGGGGAGAAUGGAAUUCCUGGUGGAGCGGUGGAAUGCGCAGAUAUCAGGAGGAACACCAGUGGCGAAGGCGGUUCUCUGGGCCUUUCCUGACGCUGAGGAGCGAAAGCGUGGGGAGCGAACAGGCUUAGAUACCCUGGUAGUCCACGCUGUAAACGGUGGGUACUAGGUGUGGGGUCCAUUCCACGGGUUCCGUGCCGUAGCUAACGCUUUAAGUACCCCGCCUGGGAAGUACGGCCGCAAGGCUAAAACUCAAAGGAAUUGACGGGGCCCCGCACAAGCGGCGGAGCAUGCGGAUUAAUUCGAUGCAACGCGUAGAACCUUACCUGGGUUUGACAUGGAUCGGGAGUGCUCAGAGAUGGGUGUGCCUCUUUUGGGGUCGGUUCACAGGUGGUGCAUGGCUGUCGUCAGCUCGUGUCGUGAGAUGUUGGGUUAAGUCCCGCAACGAGCGCAACCCUUGUUCACUGUUGCCAGCACGUUAUGGUGGGGACUCAGUGGAGACCGCCGGGGUCAACUCGGAGGAAGGUGGGGAUGACGUCAAGUCAUCAUGCCCCUUAUGUCCAGGGCUUCACGCAUGCUACAAUGGCUGGUACAGAGAGUGGCGAGCCUGUGAGGGUGAGCGAAUCUCGGAAAGCCGGUCUCAGUUCGGAUUGGGGUCUGCAACUCGACCUCAUGAAGUCGGAGUCGCUAGUAAUCGCAGAUCAGCAACGCUGCGGUGAAUACGUUCCCGGG
This 1343-nucleotide ribosomal RNA is filed under the name uncultured bacterium. RNAcentral describes it as "16S ribosomal RNA". It matches the Rfam family "Bacterial small subunit ribosomal RNA", at positions 28 to 1378 of the family's 1533-position model. The record is from RNAcentral.